AUUGAACGCUGGCGGCAGGCCUAACACAUGCAAGUCGAGCGGAUGAAGGGAGCUUGCUCCUGGAUUCAGCAGCGGACGGGUGAGUAAUGCCUAGGAAUCUGCCUGGUAGUGGGGGAUAACGUCCGGAAACGGGCGCUAAUACCGCAUACGUCCUGAGGGAGAAAGUGGGGGAUCUUCGGACCUCACGCUAUCAGAUGAGCCUAGGUCGGAUUAGCUAGUUGGUGGGGUAAAGGCCUACCAAGGCGACGAUCCGUAACUGGUCUGAGAGGAUGAUCAGUCACACUGGAACUGAGACACGGUCCAGACUUCUACGGGAGGCAGCAGUGGGGAAUAUUGGACAAUGGGCGAAAGCCUGAUCCAGCCAUGCCGCGUGUGUGAAGAAGGUCUUCGGAUUGUAAAGCACUUUAAGUUGGGGGGAAGGGCAGUAAGUUAAUACCUUGCUGUUUUGACGUUACCAACAGAAUAAGCACCGGCUAACUUCGUG
Molecule: ribosomal RNA, 484 nt
Filed under: uncultured bacterium
Lineage: Bacteria
Description: partial 16S ribosomal RNA
Rfam family: Bacterial small subunit ribosomal RNA
Source: RNAcentral